UACGGGGGGGGCAAGCGUUGUUCGGAAUUACUGGGCGUAAAGGGCUCGUAGGCGGCCAACUAAGUCAGACGUGAAAUCCCUCGGCUUAACCGGGGAACUGCAUCUGAUACUGGAUGGCUUGAGAUUGGGAGAGGGAUGCGGAAUUCCAGGUGUAGUGGUGAAAUGCGUAGAUAUCUGGAGGAACACCGGUGGCGAAGGCGGCAUCCUGGACCAACACUGACGCUGAGGAGCGAAAGCCAGGGGAGCAAACGGG
RNAcentral lists this ribosomal RNA (253 nucleotides) under uncultured bacterium. RNAcentral's name for it is "partial 16S ribosomal RNA". It matches the Rfam family "Bacterial small subunit ribosomal RNA", at positions 524 to 776 of the family's 1533-position model. The record is from RNAcentral.